Molecule: ribosomal RNA, 662 nt
Filed under: uncultured cyanobacterium
Lineage: Bacteria; Bacillati; Cyanobacteriota
Description: bacterial SSU rRNA
Rfam family: Bacterial small subunit ribosomal RNA
Source: RNAcentral
CGGACGGGUGUCAACGACGUGAGAAUCUGUCCUCAGGAGGGGGAUAACUGCUGGAAACGGCCGCUAAUACCCCAUAUGCCGAGAGGUGAAACGAAUUUCCCCUGAGGAUGAGCUCGCGUCUGAUUAGCUAGUUGGUGGAGUAACGGCCUACCAAGGCAUCGAUCAGUAGCUGCUCUGAGAGGAUGAUCAGCCACACUGGGACUGAGACACGGCCCAGACUCGUACGGGAGGCAGCAGUGGCGAAUUUUCCGCAAUGGGCGCAAGCCUGACGGAGCAACGCCGCGUGAGGGAUGAAGGCCUCUGGGCUGUAAACCUCUUUUAUCAAGGAAGAAGAUCUGACGGUACUUGAUGAAUAAGCCACGGCUAAUUCCGUGCCAGCAGCCGCGGUAAUACGGGAGUGGCAAGCGUUAUCCGGAAUUAUUGGGCGUAAAGCGUCCGCAGGCGGUCUUGUAAGUCUGUCGUUAAAGCGUGGAGCUUAACUCCAUUUGAGCGAUGGAAACUGUAAGACUAGAGUGUGGUAGGGGCAGAGGGAAUUCCCGGUGUAGCGGUGAAAUGCGUAGAUAUCGGGAAGAACACCAGUGGCGAAGGCGCUUUGCUGGGCCAUAACUGACGCUCAUGGACGAAAGCCAGGGGAGCGAAAGGGAUUAGAUACCCCUGUAGUC